AUUGAACGCUGGCGGCAGGCCUAACGCAUGCAAGUCGAGCGGAUGAAGGGAGCUUGCUCCUGGAUUCAGCGGCGGACGGGUGAGUAAUGCCUAGGAAUCUGCCUGGUAGUGGGGGAUAACGUCCGGAAACGGGCGCUAAUACCGCAUACGUCCUUAGGGAGAAAGUGGGGGAUCUUCGGACCUCACGCUAUCAGAUGAGCCUAGGUCGGAUUAGCUAGUUGGUGGGGUAAAGGCCUACCAAGGCGACGAUCCGUAACUGGUCUGAGAGGAUGAUCAGUCACACUGGAACUGAGACACGGUCCAGACUCCUACGGGAGGCAGCAGUGGGGAAUAUUGGACAAUGGGCGAAAGCCUGAUCCAGCAAUGCCGCGUGUGUGAAGAAGGUCUUCGGAUUGUAAAGCACUUUAAGUUGGGAGGAAGGGCGGUAAGUUAAUACCUUGCUGUUUUGACGUUACCAACAGAAUAAGCAACGGCUAACUUCGUG
RNAcentral lists this ribosomal RNA (484 nucleotides) under uncultured bacterium. RNAcentral describes it as "partial 16S ribosomal RNA". It matches the Rfam family "Bacterial small subunit ribosomal RNA", at positions 30 to 507 of the family's 1533-position model. The record is from RNAcentral.